UACGUAGGGUGCGAGCGUUGUCCGGAAUUAUUGGGCGUAAAGGGCUCGUAGGCGGUCUGUCGCGUCGGGAGUGAAAACUCAGGGCUUAACCCUGAGCCUGCUUCCGAUACGGGCAGACUAGAGGUAUGCAGGGGAGAACGGAAUUCCUGGUGUAGCGGUGAAAUGCGCAGAUAUCAGGAGGAACACCGGUGGCGAAGGCGGUUCUCUGGGCAUUACCUGACGCUGAGGAGCGAAAGCAUGGGGAGCGAACAGG
Molecule: ribosomal RNA, 253 nt
Filed under: uncultured bacterium
Lineage: Bacteria
Description: partial 16S ribosomal RNA
Rfam family: Bacterial small subunit ribosomal RNA
Source: RNAcentral